GGGAAUGUAACUCAAUAGGUAGAGUGUGUGGUUUGCAACCAUGAAGUUAAGAGUUCAAAUCUCUUUAUUUCCA
Molecule: transfer RNA, 73 nt
Filed under: Ishige okamurae
Lineage: Eukaryota; Phaeophyceae; Ectocarpales; Ishigeaceae
Description: tRNA-Ala
Rfam family: tRNA
About the family: Transfer RNA (tRNA) molecules are approximately 80 nucleotides in length. Their secondary structure includes four short double-helical elements and three loops (D, anti-codon, and T loops).
Source: RNAcentral